Long non-coding RNA from Gopherus flavomarginatus (Mexican gopher tortoise), 1410 nucleotides. RefSeq lists it as uncharacterized. The transcript has 2 exons. Lineage: Eukaryota; Metazoa; Chordata; Testudines; Testudinidae. The record is from RefSeq and is a predicted model, not a curated record.
UAUGGGUCAGGGCAGUCAGAGGGCAGGGAACGGGUUUGAAUGAGGGCAAGGGUCCUAGGGGAGCAGUCAGGAAGGGGGGGUAGUCAGGGGACAGAGAAGCAGGGUGGGUGGGGCAGGGGUCCCGGUGGAGGGUGUCAAGGAAUGCGGGGGAUGGAUGGGGCAGGAGUCCCAGUGGGUGAGGGCAGGCCACGACCUCCUUGUGAGAUGAGGAGGGAACCGGUUGUUAAGAUUUUGGCAGCUCAUCAGUGUGUAGACAGGCCCUGAGUGAGAGACCCAGAGCCUGAAAACAGGUUUCGCUGCAGCUUGGCCGGGCUCUGAGCUGACCAGAACGGCCUCUUGCUUUAACCUUCAGUGGGCUGGGCUGCCGGGGCUGGGGUCCAGGUGCCUAAGAAACCCGACUGUUCUGCCAAUGCUGGGGGAGUGGCCCUGUCACCUGGGCCGAGGGGCGUCGGGCCCUGCGGAGUGGACGGGUCUGUACCAGGGUCUGUCUCAGCUGGACUCGCUGGGCAAGGCUCCCGCGGUGAAGCCCAGCGGUUCAGUCUCAGGAGGUGGGGAGGCCGUGUGGCCUGUCCUGCAGGAAGAGAGAGACCUGUUGGGGUCUGGCACAGCAAAGGGCUUCCUCCCAGAGACUUCCCCAGCUGGGGUCCUGGCACCGACCCUGUGGAUCCACGAGCGUCUUUCCCAUCCACCGAGGCAGUGUGGCCUAGUGGAUAGAGCCCUGGACUGGGCCGGGAGAUGAGGAUUCUAUUCCCAGCUGGGUGACCUUGGGCAAGUCACCUCGCUAUUUGUGCCCCCUCUGGGAUCGCUGGCUGCCAUGACACAGACACGCUGUAACUCUGUAACGCCCUGGGCCCAGACGCUCUACCACUGCUUUGGGGGGGGCCUGAGCCAUGCGAACCCCACUGACACCAGCAGCAGGCACACAGCUCUCCCAGCAGCAAGGGGACCUGGGAGUCAGGGCAGUGGGAGCUGCUGCCACUUGGAGCUCUGAUGGUCCAGGGGGCAGGCACCUCCCAGGGAAUCCAGGACAGUGAGGGGACCGGGCUCUCUCCUAGGAGCUCCUGAAGCUGUUGGGGGCUGAAGACACAUCCCUGAGAUGGGGAAGUGUGGGGCCCGAUCUGCCCUGUGUCCCUGGGGGCGAGGGGGGACAUUAACCCUGCUCUCCCCACCAUGCCCCUGUCCUUCCCCUGAGUGGCAGCAGGAGUCACUCUGUCCCCUUCUCUCCCUGGUUCAGGAACCAACGAGGACGAGGAGGAGGAGGAGGAGGAGGAGGAAUGGGUGGACAUGGCUACAGAGGAGGCUGCUCUCAACAUCAUCCUAAAGUAGCACCAGGGCAGAGAAAAGGUGCAGGAUGAGGCCCAGCAGCUCAUGUUCCUUCACGCCAUCCACCCCACAUGUCUCGCUGCACAG